Molecule: unclassified non-coding RNA, 211 nt
Filed under: Melitaea cinxia (Glanville fritillary)
Lineage: Eukaryota; Metazoa; Arthropoda; Insecta; Lepidoptera; Nymphalidae
Description: misc RNA ENSMCXG00005015872.1
Source: RNAcentral
UGCGCGGCUGGCGCGAGCUGCAAGCCGAGGUGCGGGCCUUGCACGACGCCUGGCAGCACGUGCAGGCCGCGGCGCUGGCGCAGCGCGAGCAGGUGGAAGUAGUGGCUGCCAACGUAGACACAAGCGCCGACAAUGUGCAAGCGGCGCGGGAAGACCUGGCUCUUAGCGAGAAGUAAGCUCUGUGUUUGUAGAUAACGCACUACUAAGCGCA